This 212-nucleotide long non-coding RNA is filed under the name Elaeis guineensis (African oil palm). RNAcentral's name for it is "long non-coding RNA (EGUI_LNC070973)". The record is from RNAcentral. Lineage: Eukaryota; Viridiplantae; Streptophyta; Magnoliopsida; Arecales; Arecaceae.
UGAUGAAGCAACAAGAAGACUUAUGAGUUAGGCAUCUUGUUGUUGCCAAGUAGCAAUGGCAACAGGAUUAGUGGGCUGUGGGUGAGAGCCAUCGAGAAAUCCAAACAGGCUCUGAUCCUCUAAAAAAGGAGUGAGUUACUUUCUCUAGAUCAGAAAGUUGGACGCAUUCAAUUAAAUAGAUAGAAAAUGCUACGUCGAUGGAAAAGUGAGAG